RNAcentral lists this small nucleolar RNA (98 nucleotides) under Coniosporium apollinis CBS 100218. RNAcentral's name for it is "Small nucleolar RNA snR60/Z15/Z230/Z193/J17". It matches the Rfam family "Small nucleolar RNA snR60/Z15/Z230/Z193/J17". Rfam says of the family: The members of this family belong to the C/D class of snoRNAs which contain the C (UGAUGA) and D (CUGA) box motifs. Most of the members of the box C/D family function in directing site-specific 2'-O-methylation of substrate RNAs. The record is from Rfam by way of RNAcentral. Lineage: Eukaryota; Fungi; Ascomycota; Dothideomycetes.
CCGGCCUUCCUAUGAUGAUCAAAACCAAAAAUGCAUAGUUCAACCGAAUUGUCAUGUAGAAAAAACGUACCAUCUUUCGCUCCUAUCUGAUCGGCUUG